This 1865-nucleotide ribosomal RNA is filed under the name Campylobacter coli. RNAcentral's name for it is "partial 23S ribosomal RNA". It matches the Rfam family "Bacterial large subunit ribosomal RNA", at positions 1 to 1732 of the family's 2925-position model. Lineage: Bacteria; Pseudomonadati; Campylobacterota; Epsilonproteobacteria; Campylobacterales; Campylobacteraceae. The record is from RNAcentral.
AAAAAAGGUAAGCUACUAAGAGCGAAUGGUGGAUGCCUUGACUGGUAAAGGCGAUGAAGGACGUACUAGACUGCGAUAAGCUACGGGGAGCUGUCAAGAAGCUUUGAUCCGUAGAUUUCCGAAUGGGGCAACCCAAUGUAUAGAGAUAUACAUUACCUAUAUAGGAGCGAACGAGGGGAAUUGAAACAUCUUAGUACCCUCAGGAAAAGAAAUCAAUAGAGAUUGCGUCAGUAGCGGCGAGCGAAAGCGUAAGAGGGCAAACCCAGUGCUUGCACUGGGGGUUGUAGGACUGCAAUGUGCAAGAGGUGAGUUUAGCAGAACAUUCUGGAAAGUAUAGCCAUAGAGGGUGAUAGUCCCGUAUGCGAAAAACAAACCUUAGCUAGCAGUAUCCUGAGUAGGGCGGGACACGAGAAAUCCUGUCUGAAGCUGGGUCGACCACGAUCCAACCCUAAAUACUAAUACCAGAUCGAUAGUGCACAAGUACCGUGAGGGAAAGGUGAAAAGAACUGAGGUGAUCAGAGUGAAAUAGAACCUGAAACCAUUUGCUUACAAUCAUUCAGAGCACUAUGUAGCAAUACAGUGUGAUGGACUGCCUUUUGCAUAAUGAGCCUGCGAGUUGUGGUGUCUGGCAAGGUUAAGCAAACGCGAAGCCGUAGCGAAAGCGAGUCUGAAUAGGGCGCUUAGUCAGAUGCUGCAGACCCGAAACGAAGUGAUCUAUCCAUGAGCAAGUUGAAGCUAGUGUAAGAACUAGUGGAGGACUGAACCCAUAGGCGUUGAAAAGCCCCGGGAUGACUUGUGGAUAGGGGUGAAAGGCCAAUCAAACUUCGUGAUAGCUGGUUCUCUCCGAAAUAUAUUUAGGUAUAGCGUUGUGUCGUAAUAUAAGGGGGUAGAGCACUGAAUGGGCUAGGGCAUACACCAAUGUACCAAACCCUAUCAAACUCCGAAUACCUUAUAUGUAAUCACAGCAGUCAGGCGGCGAGUGAUAAAAUCCGUCGUCAAGAGGGAAACAACCCAGACUACCAGCUAAGGUCCCUAAAUCUUACUUAAGUGGAAAACGAUGUGAAGUUACUUAAACAACCAGGAGGUUGGCUUAGAAGCAGCCAUCCUUUAAAGAAAGCGUAAUAGCUCACUGGUCUAGUGAUUUUGCGCGGAAAAUAUAACGGGGCUAAAGUAAGUACCGAAGCUGUAGACUUGCGCACAACUUAGAUUAUUUAAGUUUAGAAUAUGAGAAACUAAGUUAUGUUUAGUUAUAUUUUUACUGAUUUUUAUAGAGUAAAGAUAGAAAUAAAACUUAGUAAAAUCAGUAAAAAUAUUCUUAGGCUAAAGUUAAGUAGUUUAAGUUGUGUGCAAGUGGUAGGAGAGCGUUCUAUUUGCGUCGAAGGUAUACCGGUAAGGAGUGCUGGAGCGAAUAGAAGUGAGCAUGCAGGCAUGAGUAGCGAUAAUUAAUGUGAGAAUCAUUAACGCCGUAAACCCAAGGUUUCCUACGCGAUGCUCGUCAUCGUAGGGUUAGUCGGGUCCUAAGUCGAGUCCGAAAGGGGUAGACGAUGGCAAAUUGGUUAAUAUUCCAAUACCAACAUUAGUGUGCGAUGGAAGGACGCUUAGGGCUAAGGGGGCUAGCGGAUGGAAGUGCUAGUCUAAGGUCGUAGGAGGUUAUACAGGCAAAUCCGUAUAACAAUACUCCGAGAACUGAAAGGCUUUUUGAAGUCUUCGGAUGGAUAGAAGAACCCCUGAUGCCGUCGAGCCAAGAAAAGUUUCUAAGUUUAGCUAAUGUUGCCCGUACCGUAAACCGACACAGGUGGGUGGGAUGAGUAUUCUAAGGCGCGUGGAAGAACUCUCUUUAAGGAACUCUGCAAAAUAGCACCGUA